GAGUUCAUCAGUUACAGGAGAACUGUACAACAUUGUAAGAGAGAUCAACAGAGAACUCUAGAAAUGUCUGACCAAGCACAGUGCAAGGGUGUUGAAAAGGAGAAACCAGCAGGCGGAUCCUGUAGGUGUGGACCUGAAUGUAACUGUACAGAACCAGGGGGCAUUUGUAAUUGUGGUAACUGUAAGCGUCCAGUCAAAACCUGCUGCGGGGACACAGAGAAGUGCUGUCAAAACCCUGGCAAAUGUGAAAAAGCUGAUUGCAGCAGCUGCAAAAAGUGACGUCAUGGCUACCAAAUGAGGCAACCAAUGGAGGAAUGUUAAAGGAAAAGGGACAAUAAUUACUUUUUUUAUUAGAAAAAAAAUUUAAUUCAGAACAAUUGAUAAGUGUGUGUCAAUAAAAUUCAGUGUAAGAGCGUUACAUUGGUUUGUGUAUGUAUAAAAUCCAAUUAUUUUAAUAAAAUCUUUCAUCUAUAUAUCAAA
Long non-coding RNA from Saccostrea echinata, 480 nucleotides. RefSeq lists it as uncharacterized. Lineage: Eukaryota; Metazoa; Mollusca; Bivalvia; Ostreida; Ostreidae. The transcript has 4 exons. The record is from RefSeq and is a predicted model, not a curated record.